This 76-nucleotide ribozyme is filed under the name unclassified sequences. RNAcentral describes it as "pistol ribozyme". It matches the Rfam family "Pistol ribozyme". The record is from RNAcentral.
ACUCGUCUGGGCGAGUAUAAAUAGUAAUUAGGCCCAGAGCGUCCUGGCGCGAUCGCACGAUCGACCGGUGGUUUAG